UUCUGCUAUUACCCUAAAAAUGACGUCACCAGGUGGUCACAACUUUUUAUUGACAAACUGCUACAUUGUACUCUGGCUUAGUUCUUCAUUCCUGCUUCAUGGCUUGGUUUCAUUCUUGAGAUUUUAGAGGUGGGUUUUGUCCUGUUCCUUUUCUCCCCCCUCCUUCACCGCAAGCUUCUAGCAUGCCAUCGGAAAACGUAGACAGCCGCUUAAUAAGUGUAUACACAUUAGCUGUUACACCUAUAAAUCUCGUGAGUAUUUAGGCAGGACUUUCCCCCUCUAAAUACAGUGUACUUAUAAAGGGUAAGGAAGAGGUCAGAGGUUCACAACUCAGCGUGCUCUCUCAGAGUGAACACCCAGCAGCCAGACCAAGGAUGAGAACAUCAACAGCAGAGCCACUGGCGUCCGGAACAUAGCUGGGAUAUCACUGCAGAGCCAUUUAUGGAAGCGAUCUUCCGAAAGUGAUAGCUUCCCUAUCAUCAGAGGAAGAUCUGCCACCAUGGCAGACGCCAAAGCAAGCAUCGCUUCUGUCAGGGAAUGAGAGGCAAGCCUCCAGCAUGAUGGGGAGCGUGCACGUUCUGAGAGUCAGACUGCUCACGUGAGCGAGUCAGUUAAGCUUCAGAGAUGAGUCACACCGAGUGGCACAGAUGGUACAGAAUGACAUCUCAAAGAUGUGAAAAAUACGGACGGAACCCACAGCAAAGACUAACAACAAGAAGUGCAGCUCUGACCCCUCACCAAAGAAGCUCCAUUUUCCAACACAUGGGGACUGCUAUAGAGACCAAACAACUGGUUACAAUCAGAGCACAAGUGUCUUGGGGGGCCCAACCCCACUGGGCCCAGUGAAGUAACUGCUACCGCUACGGCUCAGGGGAAGCUGCAGAAGGAGUGGAAAGAUGGUGAAAGCCAGAAGCCCAGAACAUCUGCUGUGAGAUGGUGUCCUCUGGACGUGACAAGGAUGCUGCACCCAUGAAAUCUCAGCAUGUGGUUCCCUGAGCAAACUCAGUACAGCGACAGCACCAGCUGACCUGCCAGGGUCCCAGCCCUAGAGACGAGCUACAGGAAGGGCAUGGCUGUUGAGAGAGGGCGAGUCUUCCUCCUCCAGGGAUGACCUCCCCACUAAAUUGCCCAGUACCAAGUAGUCAGUUGCGUACAUGUAGAGACGAGCAGAGACAAGAAUGACCUCAUCCUUCUUCAAAGAAAUGUCUCCUUGCCACGGACAGAGAUCUCCACAGAAAAUCACACCUGAUCACAAUGCAAAGAACAAGUGGCCAUGCAGUGUCCAGUCUCAACGGAUACAACUUUUGUACCUAAGGCUCAGGGAUCAUAGUGGGAUCAUAGUGGGAGAUGGGGUGGAAAGACUGUAAGAGGAACAAGAACUUGGCUGUACGGCUGUGUCUCCUAGAAAUGUCAGAGAAACUACACUGUGAAGUCUCAUCAACAUGGCUGCCUAACCAAGACCUGAGAAAGGCUAACACUGACAGACAUGCUAACAUGGAAGGAAGGAAUGUCAUGAGACCACCAUUCUAGAUGAAGAACUACAGGCAACUAAGGAAGCCCAGGAUGGGAGAAAUGGUUAUCCAAUACUAAGUGCCAAAUCUAUCAUUAUAUACAUGCAAGCACACACACAUAUAUAUACUGAGUGAGCUCUAUUUAUAUAUUUAGAAAUAUAUUUAUGGUCUUAGGUAGUGUUUCUAUCUUCUCAGGUAGGGAAAAAAAGAGGCCUGUAACAAGGUUUCCCUGAAUGUUCCCACUAUCCCCUGAGAUGACCACCAAUUAGAGAACAAGCCAUCAGCAUGACUUGCAGAGUCAUUUCACAGUCUCAUGAUAAUAAAUUUGUGCACACAUCAUUUCAUAAGUGCAUGUGCACAUCCAUCUGUCAGGGAAAGGGCACCAUGACCAUGGCAACCCUUGGAAGGAAAACA
This is a non-coding RNA of Myodes glareolus (Bank vole), 1925 nucleotides long. NCBI's taxonomy places the organism in Eukaryota, Metazoa, Chordata, Mammalia, Rodentia, Cricetidae. The record is from RefSeq and is a predicted model, not a curated record.